GAGACCUGAGGACCUGGUAUGGGGGUGCGUUGUUCACACUGGGCUCGGGGGCCACCGCCCCUGCACCCACACCCAGGGAGGCACCAUGCACAACUCCGAAGGCCUUUUACGGACCCCAACCAGAAUUCCCGCUCUGGGUCAGUUCUGCAUUGGUGACACGCAGGCAGAAGUCAUUAUCCCUGCAUGUGUAGCUGGUUACACCUAGGCUGCUGUAUCCGAUUCUUCUGUGUGCCCACCUGGACUCCGGGCCCCUGAAGGACAGGGCUGGGGUCUCUCACCUCCGUGCCACACCACCCUGCAUUGCACGGCGCACUGGGGACGGGCCGCAGGGCUGAACGGACUGCCUGGUGUAAGGGCUGACAGGAGAGCUGACAAGCCCCAGCCCCUACGUGACCCACAGACCACAGACAGGCCCCUACCUGCACAGCGAUCACGGACAAGACCUCCACCGAGAUUCGGUUGAAUUCAUCGAAGCAGCCCCACGCUCCAGUCUGAGCCAGGCCCUUGUAGAUGUUCCCACAGGACUAGGAAAAGGAUGCACCCCGGAGUACGCGGGGUCAGGCUGUGCUGGAAAUUCUCUGUGGAAGCUGUUGGAGCCCUUGCUGGAUCGAGGGACAGUCUGGGGCGGGGUGGCCGGGGGGCGGUCCCUCCGCCCUGGAUGUGCCCCCGGCACUCACCUGCCCUGAG
Molecule: non-coding RNA, 687 nt
Organism: Callorhinus ursinus (northern fur seal)
Lineage: Eukaryota; Metazoa; Chordata; Mammalia; Carnivora; Otariidae
Source: RefSeq, a predicted model, not a curated record